CGCGCGGGCAAGUCCAUGGCGAGCUGCAGCACAAGCUUCCCACCGGCGCCUCUGCGCGCGAGCAUGAGGGCCACCAGGACGGCGACUGCAACGCCGACGAGCAGCAGCGCGGUGAUUCCGCCGGCCAGGCAAACCCGCCUCCGACGCGCUGCGCCCUGCAGCCGCCGGGCCUCCCGCAGCUCCGCCUCGGCCGCGCCCACGUGGCCCGCGGCCGUGCCCACCUGCUGCUCGAUAUCGUCCAGCGGCGCGCCCUGAACCUCCACGAGCGCGGCCAUAUCCAGGAACAGCUGCUGAAGCUCCAGGAGGCCGCGCUCCACCUCCGCCACCUCCUUCGCGGCCUCAUCCUGCUCCGCCCCUGCGGCGGACAACAGCGCCGCCCGCAUCGCCGCGUCGGAGGAACCGUCGGUGCUGGCCAGGAGGCGGUCCAGCUGCUCCUCGGUCGGCGCGUCCCCGGCCACGGCCAGGUACCGGCGGGCCGCGUCGCUCCGGCGCUCCUCGGAGACCUGCCGCCGGAGGGCCUGCACGUCCGCGGUGAGGUCGCGCACGCGGCCGCGGAGCCCCGCUGCGGUCUGCGCCGCGGGGGCCGGAGCGCGGCGGUCCAUGGAGGCGAGGCGCGCGCGGAGGCGCCGCGCGGACACGAGGAGGCGGACGAGCGCGGCCUGCGUGGCGGCGCGGCCCUCACCGGAGCCCACCACGGCGUUCUUGGACGCCUCAUGCGCGGAUCGGAGGUGGGACAGCUCGUCGCGCAACGCGAUCAUCUCGGUCUUUGCGGCGUCUACCUCGGCCAGGAACGCGCCGAGCUCCGGGUCGUCGCCGCCGGCAGGGGCGACCGCGCCGCCCUGUUGCGCCUUGGCCGCGGCGGCGACGAAGGAGUCGGUCAUGAGGUCGUUCAUCCUCGCUAGUCUGUGCCGGAGCUGCGGAGCAGCGGAGCUGGUUGCGAGGUGGAUCUUCGCUGGCCGGUGUCGGAGCUGGUUGCGAGAUGGAUUUUUGGUGUGGUCGGUCUCGAUCUCAAAUGGUCGCUGAAAAAAACAAGAUUUUUUUUCCUGCAGUUAAUCAAGUCG
This 1061-nucleotide unclassified non-coding RNA is filed under the name Zea mays. RNAcentral's name for it is "misc RNA Zm00001eb264820". Lineage: Eukaryota; Viridiplantae; Streptophyta; Magnoliopsida; Poales; Poaceae. The record is from RNAcentral.